CAGCAGUGGGGAAUAUUGCACAAUGGGCGCAAGCCUGAUGCAGCCAUGCCGCGUGUAUGAAGAAGGCCUUCGGGUGUAAAGUACUUUCAGCAGUGAGGAAGGUGGGUAUGUUAAUAGCAUAUUCAUUUGACGUUAGCUGCAGAAGAAGCACCGGCUAACUCCGUGCCAGCAGCCGCGGUAAUACGGAGGGUGCGAGCGUUAAUCGGAAUUACUGGGCGUAAAGCGCAUGCAGGUGGUUUGUUAAGUCAGAUGUGAAAGCCCGGGGCUCAACCUCGGAAUUGCAUUUGAAACUGGCAAACUAGAGUACUGUAGAGGGGGUAGAAUUUCAGGUGUAGCGGUGAAAUGCGUAGAGAUCUGAAGGAAUACCGGUGGCGAAGGCGGCCCCCUGGACAGAUACUGACACUCAGAUGCGAAAGCGUGGGGAGCAAACAGGAUUAGAUACCCUGGUAG
Molecule: ribosomal RNA, 450 nt
Filed under: uncultured bacterium
Lineage: Bacteria
Description: bacterial SSU rRNA
Rfam family: Bacterial small subunit ribosomal RNA
Source: RNAcentral